This 4008-nucleotide long non-coding RNA is filed under the name Malus domestica (apple). Its description in RNAcentral is "long non-coding RNA (MDOM_LNC018580)". The record is from RNAcentral. Lineage: Eukaryota; Viridiplantae; Streptophyta; Magnoliopsida; Rosales; Rosaceae.
CUCCGCCAAAGUUCCCACCGCAUCCUCUGUUUUCUUCUCCAUCCCCCACAUAUUCUCUUUGGCCUUCUCCUUCGCGCUCUCCGCUGUCUCGGCUGCCCUCUGAGUCCCCUCCCCCACUUUUUCUGUCACAGUGUCCGCCAUCUCAUUGGUCUUCUCCUUUGUCUCGUAACCGUACUCUUUAGCUUUCUCCUUGGUGCUCUCCACCGUCUCCGCUGCUCUAUUCGUUCCCUCUUUCGCCUUCUCCUCCAUAGUCCCAGCUGCGCUCUUCGUAUUCUCCUCCAUAGUCUCAGCUGCGCUCUUCGUCUUAUCCUUUGCUUCCUGCGCGUAAUCCUUGGUCGUCUCUUUCAUUUCCUCGGCUUUUCGCUUCGUGUUUUCUAGGCCUUCUCCCAUGGUUUCUUUCGCUUUGUCAUAUCCCUUGUUCUCCCCGGCCGCAUUUCGUCCCUGAAAUCAAUUGACACAAAUAUGUUAAACUACAAUUUUUGACAAUACGAGCAUACUGCCCUAACUAACUAGCCAAACCCGUAUCUGUAAAUGUUACCUCGGAUUUGGAGGCGGAGAUGAAGCAGACGCGGGAGACUUUCUGAGAUGAAUAUCUGAGAGAGGGUGGCUGAGAGAAACGAGGAAAAGAUCUGGAGAGGUUGAACAUAGCAUUAUCUGCUACGGAAAACACUGCCAUGUUUGCCUGCUCUGUUUUCUCCUUUCUUUCGGUUGGUUUGUGUUAUCCUAUCACCGUUUCUAGGGUUUGCAUGUUAUAACGAGAUUAGGAAGAGUAAGGUGGCAGCUUUGGCGCUUGACACGUGUGACUGUCAGUUGCUGGGGAGCUCCUGUAGCCUACAAAGAUCAUCACUUUUGUCUCAAAAGUCGACUCAAUUUUGUCUCAAUAGCCGACUCUCAAUCCCCAAUCUUAAUAUGGGCUCUAGGGCUAAAAAGCCCAUAUCGUUUUGAUUGAUUUGUGGCCCAGAACAAGUAUGGAAAAUAAGUGGGCCAUGUUCAAGAGGGUUUUAAAAUUCCAUCAAUUUACUCUUUGGAGCCCAAACUAUUCGCUUUUUUACUGCCCCGACGAUUUCAGUACGACUGCCACCGAGUAUAGUUUCGGAAAUCCACCAUCUUCACAGCUCAGGUACUUACAUAUAUGUCAAUUAACAAGUUCAUAUUCAAAUCCCUAGAACUGUAUUGCAUUGGGAAUUGAGGGGUCCCGCUAAAGAUUUGUUCUUUACGCUUUGGGAUUUGAUGGGUUUUUUUUUUAUUUUAUAUUUUUCAUAGAAAAUUAUAGCAUCAUUUGGUUGAUUUGGUUUUGGAAGCUGAUCAUUGUUUGUUGUUAAUUGGUGUUUCUCUUCCAUGUUUAGCUUCGUAUGUGCAAAUCUAUGAGGCCGUGAAGCUUCAAUUUACUAGAUUUCUUAAGAUAAGUCAUUUGACAGAUCUGUUAUUUGCACUCCAAAAAAGUCAUUCCGUACUUUUCCCCAUAAAAGUUAUUUUUCAAGAAUGAAUUAGGAAUUGAAGAAGCAUGCCUUAUAUCUGACCAAUGCCAUUUCCUGAUUGGUUGAUUCCAUUUUUUUUAUUGCUUGCCGCAGAUAUCUCAAAUUUCUGUGAUUUUUGGUGAACCAUGGUUACAUUAUUCAGUUAAGUAGAGCAUUGUCAUGUAAUUUGACAAACAAGUUAUCUUGGUGAACCAUGGUUACAUUAUUCAGUUAAGUAGAGCAUUGUCAUGUAAUUUGACAAACAAGUUAUCUUACAGGGCAACCAAGUUUAGCAUUACACUCACCUAGAUUAAAAUUUUGUCCGAAUCUUGAUUAAAAUAAUCCUUAAGGAGAAGACCAAGUUUAGCAUUACACUCAUAGCUUUUGUCACUCUUGGAUGUCGGCCAGCACUUGUCAUCCAGGUGUCAUUUGAAUAUUUGGGUUAGGACGUGUCAUAAAUCUUCUUGUUGAAGUCUCUUCACUUAUGCAUCUAAAUCUUGUUGUUCCUCCUAUCUAUUUAAAAGCUUAUAACUCUUGAACAUGCAUCCGUCAUCUAAGAGAACCUUUUUAACUCUUAAUAAAUGGAACUAUCAAUGUGAUUCCGCCGUCUACGAGAACCUCUUUUAACUUUGGGAAGUAUCAAUGUGGUUUCAUCCGGGGUAGAACUUUUUGAAUCACAGCUGUCGUGAGUCACAUUGAAAAUGACAAUUCAAGUCUUGUGACGGUUCACAUGAGAUUUCGGACAUCAUCAAAUUGAUAACGUGAGGAUGGGAGAAGGAGUGAGGAGUGUGGUUAACCUACAAACCCACUCGUAGCUGAUUUUGUAGAUAGUAGUGCACAAUUGUGAGUAUUAUUUAGUUUUCGCCCAUAUCUUAAAUUAUUUCAUAAAUAAUUUUAAUAUUUUUGGUUCUUGUCCCCUCGAAAUUCUUAUUAACCUACGUUAGCAAAAGAGGCACAAGCCGCACAACGAUCGGGGAAGAAUAAGCUGCCAUGGCAUGGGUGAUCUCAAGCAGUUGAUUUCAAGCCACGUAAUGUAUAAGAGCUUCAAAAUGCAAGGUCGGCUAAGAAUCGAAUCAGGCGUAAUUAGCAUGAUAUAUGUCACCUCCUUUUGGUGACCCCUACACUCACACUAAUCAUGUACCGUCACACUAAUCAUAUGUCAAAGUAGUAAGUACAUCGCAAGAGUGAAACUCGCGUAAUUGCUAAAUUGUAACACAAUAUGAAGCUUAUGUGGACUUCCUUUACAAACACCGUUAACACUUCAAAUACCAUCAUUAAUUUUGAUUAAUUGGUUCUGAUUAUCGAUGUGUGAUUACUGCAAUUUUACUUGACCAAGUAAUUAAUCUAAAUAAUCUAAAGGCAUGCAUCAACCUGAACGGAGAUGAAGUAUGUCGAUGCAUCUCAAAACACAGGUUAUUUCAACGGUUUAGAUUUAUUAUUAGAAUGCACAUUUUGCAAAAAGCAAAUAAACUAAUUCAUCGAUCAAAAAAGCUGCAAAUUAAAAGAAAAAUUGUAAGUCUCAAUAUUACUUCUCAAGGCCCUUGCCGGCACGCCGCCUUUAGUUCCACCACAUCCGCUUCCAUCACCUUCCCUUCCGCCACUCCAUCGCCAUCCACGUCAACAUCCACAUCACUCUCACUAGUAGAGUCAUCAUCAAUGGCCACCGCUCCUACUUCCUCAUCAGGAGCUACCACCGUCUCCUUAAUCUUCUGCCCUGUCUCCUUCACCGCCCCCCACGCCCCUUUCACUGUGCCCUUUGCCGUCUCCGCCGCCUUACUAGUCCCCUCCUUCACCUUCUCCGCCACAGUUCCCACCGCAUCCUCUGUUUUCUCCUUCAUCCCCCACAUAUUCUCUUUGGCCUUCUCCUUCGCGCUCUCCGCUGUCUCGGCUGCCCUCUGAGUCCCCUCCUUCGCUUUUUCUGUCAGUGUGUCCGCCACCUCCUCGGUCUUCUCCUUUGUCUCGUAACCGUACUCUUUAGCUUUCUCCUUGGUGCUCUCAGCCGUCUCCGCUGCUCUGUUCGUUCCCUCUUUCGCCUUCUCCGCCAUAGUCUCGGCUGCUCUCUUUGCCUUCUCCUUUGCUUCCUCCGCGUAAUCCUUGGUCGUCUCUUUCGUCUCCUCUGCUUUUCGCUUCGUCUUUUCUAGCCCUUCUCCCAUGGUUUCUUUCGCUCUGCUGUUCACGUUCGCCGACCCGUACUCUCGUUCCUUAUUCAUCCAGUUCUUGUUGUUGUUGUCAUAUCCCUUGUUCUCUCCGGCCGCAUUUCGUCCCUGAAAUCAAUUGACACAAAUAUGUUUACUACAUUUUUUGACCAUACGAGCAUACUGCCCUAACUAACUAGCCUAACCCGUAUCUGUAAAUGUUACCAUGGAGAAUUUGGAGGCGGUGGUGAAGCAAACGCGGGAUACCUUCUGAGAUGAAUAUCUGAGGGAGAGUGACUGAGAGGAUCGAGGAAAAGAUCUGGAGAGGUUGAACAUAACAUUUUUUGCGACGUGAAAUACUGCCAUGUUUGCUUGCUCUGCUUUUCUCCUUUCUUUCUGUUGGUUUGUGUUAUCCU